AGAGUUUGAUCCUGGCUCAGAACGAACGCUGGCGGCAGGCUUAACACAUGCAAGUCGAACGCACCGCAAGGUGAGUGGCAGACGGGUGAGUAACGCGUGGGAACCUUCCCUUUGGUACGGAAUAACUUCGGGAAACCGAAGCUAAUACCGUAUAAGUCCUUCGGGAGAAAGAUUUAUCGCCAAAGGAUGGGCCCGCGUUGGAUUAGCUAGUUGGUAGGGUAAAGGCCUACCAAGGCUACGAUCCAUAGCUGGUCUGAGAGGAUGAUCAGCCACACUGGGACUGAGACACGGCCCAGACUCCUACGGGAGGCAGCAGUGGGGAAUAUUGGACAAUGGGGGCAACCCUGAUCCAGCCAUGCCGCGUGAGUGAAGAAGGCCUUAGGGUUGUAAAGCUCUUUUGGCGGGGACGAUAAUGACGGUACCCGCAGAAUAAGCCCCGGCUAACUUCGUGCCAGCAGCCGCGGUA
RNAcentral lists this ribosomal RNA (466 nucleotides) under uncultured Pseudomonadota bacterium. RNAcentral describes it as "bacterial SSU rRNA". It matches the Rfam family "Bacterial small subunit ribosomal RNA", at positions 8 to 522 of the family's 1533-position model. Lineage: Bacteria; Pseudomonadati; Pseudomonadota. The record is from RNAcentral.